This 935-nucleotide ribosomal RNA is filed under the name uncultured Chloroflexota bacterium. RNAcentral describes it as "bacterial SSU rRNA". It matches the Rfam family "Bacterial small subunit ribosomal RNA", at positions 16 to 967 of the family's 1533-position model. Lineage: Bacteria; Bacillati; Chloroflexota. The record is from RNAcentral.
AUCCUGGCUCAGGAUGAACGCUGGCGGCGUGCCUAACACAUGCAAGUCGAACGAGAAGCCUGAUUUCGAUUAGGUGGAGAGUGGCGCACGGGUGAGUAACACAUGGCUGACCUGCCCUUCAGAGGGGGACAACCACCGGAAACGGUGGCUAAUACCCCAUACGCUCGCCGUGAUUAGCAGGCGGUGAGGAAACCUUCGGGGCUGAGGGAGGGGGCUGUGGCCCAUCAGCUAGUUGGUAGGGUAACGGCCUACCAAGGCAAAGACGGGUAGGGGGCCUGAGAGGGUGACCCCCCACACGGGCACUGAGACACGGGCCCGACUUCUACGGAAGGCAGCAGUGAGGGAUAUUGCCCAAUGGACGGAAGUCUGAGGCAGCAACGCCGCGUGCGGGAUGAAGGCCUUCGGGUUGUAAACCGCUUUUCUGCGCGAAGAGGAAGGACGGUAGCGCAGGAAGAAGUCUCGGCUAACUACGUGCCAGCAGCCGCGGUAAAACGUAGGAGGCGAGCGUUAUCCGGAUUUACUGGGUGUAAAGCGCGUGCAGACGGUCAUGUAAGUGGUGCGUGAAAGCGCCCGGCUCAACCGGGCGAGGCCGUGCCAAACUGCGUGACUGGAGGCAGGUAGAGGCGCGUGGAAUUCCGGGUGUAGUGGUGAAAUGCGUAGAUAUCCGGAGGAACACCAGUGGCGAAGGCGGCGCGCUGGGCCUGACCUGACGCUAAGACGCGAAAGCAUGGGGAGCGAACGGGAUUAGAAACCCCGGUAGUCCAUGCUGUAAACGCUGCAGACUAGGUGUUGCGUGCGACGAGUAUGCAGUGCCGAAGCCAACGUGAUAAGUCUGCCACCUGGGGACUACGGCCGCAAGGUUAAAACUCAAAGGAAUUGACGGGGGCCCCGCACAAGCAGCGGAGCGUGUGGUUUAAUUCGAGGCUACACGAAGA